This 70-nucleotide transfer RNA is filed under the name Salmo salar (Atlantic salmon). It matches the Rfam family "tRNA". Rfam says of the family: Transfer RNA (tRNA) molecules are approximately 80 nucleotides in length. The record is from Rfam by way of RNAcentral. Lineage: Eukaryota; Metazoa; Chordata; Actinopteri; Salmoniformes; Salmonidae.
ACCUUUAUACUAGCGGUUAGGAUUCCUGGAUUUCACUCAGGCGGCCCGGGUUCGACUCCCGGUAUGGGAA